This 802-nucleotide ribosomal RNA is filed under the name uncultured bacterium. Its description in RNAcentral is "bacterial SSU rRNA". It matches the Rfam family "Bacterial small subunit ribosomal RNA", at positions 43 to 836 of the family's 1533-position model. The record is from RNAcentral.
CGGGCAGCCUACACAUGCAAGUCGAACGGUAACUUUUGGUGCUUGCACCGAAAGACGAGUGGCGAACGGGUGCGUAACGCGUAUGCAACCUGCCUUUUACUGGGGAAUAGCCCGAAGAAAUUCGGAUUAAUGCCCCAUAUGCUCGCACAAUCGCAUGAUUGAGCGAGGAAAGCUCCGGCGGUAAAAGAUGGGCAUGCGUCCUAUUAGCUUGUUGGUGAGGUAAUGGCUCACCAAGGCUACGAUAGGUAGGGGACCUGAGAGGGUGAACCCCCACACUGGUACUGAGACACGGACCAGACUCCUACGGGAGGCAGCAGUGAGGAAUAUUGGGCAAUGGAGGAAACUCUGACCCAGCCAUGCCGCGUGCAGGAAGACGGCCCUCUGGGUUGUAAACUGCUUUUAUAUGGGAAUAAACCCUUCCACGUGUGGAAGGCUGAAGGUACCAUAAGAAUAAGGAUCGGCUAACUCCGUGCCAGCAGCCGCGGUAAUACGGAGGAUCCAAGCGUUAUCCGGAAUCAUUGGGUUUAAAGGGUCCGUAGGCGGUUUUUUAAGUCAGAGGUGAAAUCCUGCAGCUCAACUGUAGAAUUGCCUUUGAUACUGAAAGACUUGAGUUAUUGUGAAGUGGUUAGAAUGUGUGGUGUAGCGGUGAAAUGCAUAGAUAUCACACAGAAUACCAAUUGCGAAGGCAGAUCACUAACAAUAUACUGACGCUCAGGGACGAAAGCGUGGGGUAGCGAACAGGAUUAGAUACCCUGGUAGUCCACGCCGUAAACGAUGGAUACUAGCUGUAUGUCUACUUCAG